Molecule: long non-coding RNA, 1419 nt
Organism: Salvia hispanica
Lineage: Eukaryota; Viridiplantae; Streptophyta; Magnoliopsida; Lamiales; Lamiaceae
Source: RefSeq, a predicted model, not a curated record
CCCUACAAAGAGGGGAAAGCUGCAAACGAGGAGGUCGUUCAGGGCUUCCACUUCUAAUCAAUAUGCUUUGAUUUGGGGUUUCUAUUUUCCUUUUGCCCUAGAAUCGAUUGAAUUUGCUCUGUGUCGGUUCACUACUGGUUUUUCAUUGCAAUUUGGGUUUGUUGUGCACAAAUAGGAUAUGUCUACUGCAAAAUGCCCAGGCGGUGCUACUGUAAUUGGUUCCGCCAGUGCAGGAUUUAGUUAUGCUUCCUUCAUAGUUAGAUUGUAUGUUGUAUUCUUCAUUUCUAAAGUUUCCUUUUGGAAUUUUAUCCUUUCCCAGCAGCUGUAAAUGAGCCGGGGCCGCGGAAGUUUCGCAAAGGCCAUCGGUCACGUAGGAUGCAGGAGGAAGAGAUUCUGGCCACAAUCUUGGCUGAUCUCGUAGCACGAGGUUGGAAGUUGGACAAUGGCUUCCGACCGGGCUAUCGAAGACGCUAUCCGCGCGGAGUUCCCAAAGUCGGACCUCAAGGGCACUCCUCAUAUCACUUCUAAACUUCAAGCAUAGAAGAAAAGUUACAAUAGUCUGCGCAGAAUCUUGGGACGCACGGGAGUUGGACUCAAUCCCCACGGUGAUUACAAAAUUGACCGUGAUGAUGAACAAUGGGAGCAUAUUGUGGCGUCUUGGCCCUUCUGGGAGACCUGGAAGUGCAUUUUUGAUGGUGGGGCUGAGCAGCUCGACACAGCGGCUGAGGAAAUCCGCCCUCUAGAACCUGUCCGUAGUCAAUGCAACGAGAGCAAUUACCACCCGUCUUUGGAUGAUGUGCCGACUGAAGCUAACAGCCCAGUAGAGGAGCAGGCCUACUUGCCUGACCACGGGUUAGACAAUGAUGAGUGACAGACCCAUACUAUCAAAACUCGCUCCGUCAAGCGGAAGAAUGGUUCGAGCGAUGAUGCACUGAUGGAAUUUCUUGGCAAUCUCCAUGCCGAAACUAACUCCAGGUUUGAAGCCAUAUAUGCGAGGAUUGGGUAUGAGUUUGAUUUGGGCAAGGCGAGGCAAGCUGUGUUUGACAAGCUCGAGACUAUUGAUGGCCUCACCCUUGACGAGAGGUACGAGCUGUGCAAUAUACUCAGCGAUGAGUCGCAGCGCCUUGAGGUUUUUAUGGGGAUGCCUGCGAAUGCUCGACUCGGCUAUGUGAAGAUGUUACUGAAGCAGAAGAUGCAUGAAACUUGAGGAGCAGUUGGGUGGGCUUGUGUGGGGUUCUACUAUAUUUUGUAGUUAAAUUAAGCAGCUAAGUAUGGUGGUUAGUAUGUUUAAACUAUGUCGCAUUUUGUUGGACUAAGAUGGAAGUGGUGUAAAAUAUUUUGUAGCCUAGGAUGCUGCUGUAACUCCCCACACGUUUUGUGUAUGCCUCGUUUAAUGAAACACUUUAUUUUAUGCUUCUA